UCCCUGGUGGCUCAGAGGUAAAGCAUCUGUCUACAAUGCGGGAGACCCGGGUUCGAGCCCUGGUUUGGGAA
This 71-nucleotide transfer RNA is filed under the name Ovis aries (sheep). It matches the Rfam family "tRNA". From Rfam's summary of the family: Transfer RNA (tRNA) molecules are approximately 80 nucleotides in length. Their secondary structure includes four short double-helical elements and three loops (D, anti-codon, and T loops). The record is from Rfam by way of RNAcentral. Lineage: Eukaryota; Metazoa; Chordata; Mammalia; Artiodactyla; Bovidae.